RNAcentral lists this unclassified non-coding RNA (116 nucleotides) under uncultured fungus. RNAcentral describes it as "sequence contains ITS1". The stretch from base 1 to 94 matches the Rfam family "5.8S ribosomal RNA", at positions 50 to 141 of the family's 154-position model. From Rfam's summary of the family: 5.8S ribosomal RNA (5.8S rRNA) is a component of the large subunit of the eukaryotic ribosome. It is transcribed by RNA polymerase I as part of the 45S precursor that also contains 18S and 28S rRNA. The record is from RNAcentral. Lineage: Eukaryota; Fungi.
GAAAUGCGAUACUUGGUGUGAAUUGCAGAAUCCCGUGAACCAUCGAGUCUUUGAACGCAAGUUGCGCCCGAAGCCAUUAGGCCGAGGGCACGCCCGGGGCUACCCGCUGAGUUUAA